RNAcentral lists this ribosomal RNA (1773 nucleotides) under Anoplodactylus batangensis. Its description in RNAcentral is "SSU rRNA". It matches the Rfam family "Eukaryotic small subunit ribosomal RNA". Lineage: Eukaryota; Metazoa; Arthropoda; Pycnogonida; Pantopoda; Phoxichilidiidae. The record is from RNAcentral.
CCAUGCAUGUGUAAGUACUUGCCGAUUUUGAAGGCGAAACCGCGAAUGGCUCAUUAAAUCAGUUAUGGUUCCUUAGAUCGUAGCCUUAUCACAUGGAUAACUGUGGUAAUUCUAGAGCUAAUACAUGCACGCAUGCUCCGACGCCGUUUGUAGCGGGGAAAGAGCAGCGUUUUAUUAGACCAAAACCAAUCGGGUUUCCCUCACGGGUUCCCGGCAAAUUUGUGGUGACUCUGGAUAACUUUUGGCCGAUCGCACGGUCUUUGCACCGGCGACGUGUCUUUCAAAUGUCUGCCUUAUCAACUGUCGAUGGUAGGUUAUGCGCCUACCAUGGUCGUAACGGGUAACGGGGAAUCAGGGUUCGAUUCCGGAGAGGGAGCCUGAGAAACGGCUACCACAUCCAAGGAAGGCAGCAGGCACGCAAAUUACCCACUCCCGGCACGGGGAGGUAGUGACGAAAAAUAACAAUACGGGACUCUUUCGAGGCCCCGUAAUUGGAAUGAGUACACUUUAAAUCCUUUAACGAGGAUCUAUUGGAGGGCAAGUCUGGUGCCAGCAGCCGCGGUAAUUCCAGCUCCAAUAGCGUAUAUUAAAGUUGUUGCGGUUAAAAAGCUCGUAGUUGGAUUUCUGUUCCAGACUGACGGUCCGCCGAAUCGGUCGCGACUGUCAGGCCUGAACAUCCCGUCGGUUUUUCACUUUCCCGCGGUGCUCUUUACUGAAGUGUCGCGGGAGGCCGACAAGUUUACUUUGAAAAAAUUAGAGUGCUCAAAGCAGGCGGUCAGCCUGAAUAAUGGUGCAUGGAAUGAUGGAAUAGGACCUCGGUUCUGUUUUGUUGGUUUUCGCAAUCGAGGUAAUGAUUAAGAGGGACAGACGGGGGCAUUCGUAUUGCGACGCUAGAGGUGAAAUUCUUGGACCGUCGCAAGACGAACUAUUGCGAAAGCAUUUGCCAAGAAUGUUUUCAUUAAUCAAGAACGAAAGUUAGAGGUUCGAAGGCGAUCAGAUACCGCCCUAGUUCUAACCAUAAACGAUGCCAACCAGCGAUCCGGGAGUUCCUUACAUGACUCGGCGGGCAGCUUCCGGGAAACCAAAGUCUUUGGGUUCCGGGGGAAGUAUGGUUGCAAAGCUGAAACUUAAAGGAAUUGACGGAAGGGCACCACCAGGAGUGGAGCCUGCGGCUUAAUUUGACUCAACACGGGAAAACUCACCCGGCCCGGACACCGGAAGGAUUGACAGAUUGAUAGCUCUUUCUUGAUUCGGUGGGUGGUGGUGCAUGGCCGUUCUUAGUUGGUGGAGCGAUUUGUCUGGUUAAUUCCGAUAACGAACGAGACUCUGGCCUGCUAAAUAGGAGACUGAUUCCGAAGUCAGUCGGCACUUCUUAGAGGGACAGGCGGUCUUUAUCCGCACGAGAUAGAGCAAUAACAGGUCUGUGAUGCCCUUAGAUGUCCGGGGCCGCACGCGCGCUACACUGAAGGAAUCAGCGUGUGCUUGUCCCUGUCUGAAAAGACUGGGUAACCCGUUGAACCUCCUUCGUGAUGGGGAUAGGGGCUUGUAAUUGUUCCCCUUGAACGAGGAAUUCCCAGUAAGCGCGAGUCAUAAGCUCGUGUUGAUUACGUCCCUGCCCUUUGUACACACCGCCCGUCGCUACUACCGAUUGAAUGAUUUAGUGAGGUCUUCGGACUUGCCGCCGUAACCGUCGACUCCGGUCGCGUAACGGAUGGCGGGAAAGAUGACCAAACUUGAUCAUUUAGAGGAAGUAAAAGUCGUAACAAGGUUUCC